This is a long non-coding RNA of Triplophysa dalaica, 1192 nucleotides long. RefSeq lists it as uncharacterized. The record is from RefSeq and is a predicted model, not a curated record. The transcript has 3 exons. NCBI's taxonomy places the organism in Eukaryota, Metazoa, Chordata, Actinopteri, Cypriniformes, Nemacheilidae.
GUGCGAGCACAUGGAAAAUCCACUAGCAGCUAUCAGAACUAUGGAAAAAUCCCGUCCAAGUAAAAAACGCACUUUGUAAGUACACAACCAAAACUACCCGAGGACUGAUAUCUUGUCAAGGAAGAACACCAUAUCAUAACAUUGCACGCAAAUGACACAGGAUGACUGAUGGUUACAUGUUCGAAUCGGAUCAGGAGUUAAGUGCUUGAUGAUGGAAAGAGAUCAGAACAAAGUUUAAACAACAGCAGAUGGGCUCACGAAUCAUGCAAUACCUACCCUUCACCACAAGAGGACGCUAAAAGAAUGGCGAGGAGGAUAGAUGAUCGAAUGCCAUGGAUGCCACACAGCAUUGUUGGAAACGCAGCAAUGAGCCAAGAAAAACAUGCUCACAGAAUACGGCAGUAAAUUCUUGCAAAAAAAACAUUUCAAAUCUCUUCUCACAGCCAAUGAUUAGCAAAAAAAAACAGUACAAAGUAAUUAAAAAAAACAAUUAAUUUUCUAAUUAAAUGACUGUUUGCUGGUAACACAGUAAACAUUUGCUGCUCUGUACAUGGACAUCCACACAAAGAAACAGGGCCUUCCAGAGUUACACAGGAGAGCCAUUGCUGCCUCCACUAAUAGAAGAAGCAGAUGGAGUGAAGGAGGUACAAAGUAUUAAAACAAAACAGAAAAACACAAAAAAGAUCGCAGAAAGGCAGGGGUCUGUAUAUGAGAGGGAAAGUAAAUAUAAAAGAGGUAUUACUAUUUAGGGAAGAGGAUCACGUAACUUUGGGGUCUCUUUGGAUCUAACACUGUCUUAUUCAAGUCAAAACAAGAUCUAUUCAGCUCAUUGUUCAAAAAGACAUUCAAUAAACGUGCAUACACAUCUCUAUCUGACAAAAGCUAUAUAAUUACCACCUUGUUUUAGAGCGGGCUAGACACCACUAGACACUAGGAUAUUACCAUGUCUGUCCUGCUGCUCUACACUAGUAAUAUACACACAGACUGUCUCACUCCCACUAAAUGACACUGAUAAAUUACUUUUACACUUGUACAGUACCACUGUACAGACGGAUUUCAACAGCGAGACAGCGUAGAGUUUUUGUGAAAUGAUUGUUUCAGGACUUGUAUAUGGAAAGUUCUUACGAUUCUUUACAUUUUUAAUAAAUGCUUUAAGAAGAGGCAGAUUUAAAAGCUCAUGGCACUGUGGGAC